UACAGAGGGGGCUAGCGUUGUUCGGAAUUACUGGGCGUAAAGCGCACGUAGGCGGCUUUGUAAGUUAGAGGUGAAAGCCCGGGGCUUAACCCCGGAAUAGCCUUUAAGACUGCAUCGCUUGAACACGGGAGAGGUGAGUGGAAUUCCGAGUGUAGAGGUGAAAUUCGUAGAUAUUCGGAAGAACACCAGUGGCGAAGGCGGCUCACUGGACCGUUGUUGACGCUGAGGUGCGAAAGCGUGGGGAGCAAACAGG
This 253-nucleotide ribosomal RNA is filed under the name uncultured bacterium. Its description in RNAcentral is "partial 16S ribosomal RNA". It matches the Rfam family "Bacterial small subunit ribosomal RNA", at positions 524 to 776 of the family's 1533-position model. The record is from RNAcentral.